AACGAAGAUUCAUAAAAAAGGGAUAUGAUAUUAAAAAAAACAACAUUCAAGGCAUUAACUUUAGCUAUCAAAUCUUUUAUUUCGUCUGGAUUAGCAUCUCCUGCUGGAAUAACUUCAAUAUCAAGUGUUCUUGGUCUUUUUCUUCCUCCUGUUUUGUCAGAUUUUUUUCUUGUAUUUCGACGAAGUUGUGUUA
Hydra vulgaris (swiftwater hydra) is the source of this 193-nucleotide non-coding RNA. Lineage: Eukaryota; Metazoa; Cnidaria; Hydrozoa; Anthoathecata; Hydridae. The record is from RefSeq and is a predicted model, not a curated record.